GACGAACGCUGGCGGCGUGCUUAACACAUGCAAGUCGAGCGGUAAGGCCCUUUCGGGGGUACACGAGCGGCGAACGGGUGAGUAACACGUGGGUGACCUGCCCUCAGCUCUGGGAUAAGCCUGGGAAACCGGGUCUAAUACCGGAUAUGACUCCAUGACGCAUGUUGUGGGGUGGAAAGCCUUGUGCGGCUGAGGAUGGGCCCGCGGCCUAUCAGCUU
This 218-nucleotide ribosomal RNA is filed under the name uncultured bacterium. RNAcentral describes it as "partial 16S ribosomal RNA". It matches the Rfam family "Bacterial small subunit ribosomal RNA", at positions 28 to 247 of the family's 1533-position model. The record is from RNAcentral.